This 225-nucleotide ribosomal RNA is filed under the name uncultured bacterium. RNAcentral's name for it is "partial 16S ribosomal RNA". It matches the Rfam family "Bacterial small subunit ribosomal RNA", at positions 109 to 334 of the family's 1533-position model. The record is from RNAcentral.
AGUAACACGUGGGUAACCUGCCUUAUGGAGGGGGAUAACAGAGAGAAAUCACUGCUAAUACCGCAUAAGCACACAGUACCGCAUGGUACAGGGUGAAAAGAUUUAUCACCAUAAGAUGGACCCGCGUCUGAUUAGCCAGUUGGCAGGGUAAAAGCCUACCAAAGCGACGAUCAGUAGCCGAUCUGAGAGGAUGACCGGCCACAUUGGGACUGAGACACGGCCCAA